UACGUAGGGACCAAGCGUUGUCCGGAAUCAUUGGGCGUAAAGAGCGUGUAGGCGGCUUGUUAAGUCUUGCGUGAAAUCUCGGGGCUCAACCCCGAGCGGUCGUGAGAAACUGGCAGGCUAGAGUGCGGGAGAGGAGAGUGGAAUUCCUGGUGUAGCGGUGAAAUGCGCAGAUAUCGGGAGGAACACCAAUGGCGAAGGCAGCUCGCUGGGACGGUACUGACGCUGAGACGCGAAAGCGUGGGGAGCAAACAGG
Molecule: ribosomal RNA, 253 nt
Filed under: uncultured bacterium
Lineage: Bacteria
Description: partial 16S ribosomal RNA
Rfam family: Bacterial small subunit ribosomal RNA
Source: RNAcentral